CUAAAGCUUUCUAAAUCUAUGCAGAAAAUACCACAGCAUUUUCAAUUAUCUCACAACAACACCAAAUUUAAUCACAAUUUAACGAAAUUAUUGGAUUCUCCUUAUAAAUUGUGCCAACAUUUACAUAGAAUCAGAAUCUAAAUAUAGAUUUUAUAAAACCGUAGAAAAUUACUAUAAAUUUACAAAUCAUAAGAACUGAAAAUCUGGAAAACAAUAGCAUAUUUCAAAGAGGCUCAAAAAUAAG
This 244-nucleotide unclassified non-coding RNA is filed under the name Hevea brasiliensis (rubber tree). Lineage: Eukaryota; Viridiplantae; Streptophyta; Magnoliopsida; Malpighiales; Euphorbiaceae. The record is from RNAcentral.